UAAUAUUUAUUGAGUGCUUACUAUAUGCCAGGUCCUGUGCCAUGUUGGAUUAGUUAGGAUGUAAUAGGUUAUGCCAUGAUGUGAUAAAAACAAAUCCCAGAUCCCAGUGCCUUAAAUAAAAAUUUAUUUCUCAUUCAUGUUUCACAGGUUGGCUGUAACUCUGCUUUGGUGAUAUAUCCAUCUUCAUCCCAAGACCCAGGCUGACCGAGUUGUCAAUAUUUGCAACAUUGCCAGUUGCCCUGUCAGGUGUGGAAUAAGAGAUAAAGAAGCCGAGCCACAGACAGGUUCAGCAACAUGCCCAAAGUCACAUAGCUCUUAGGGGUACAGCUGAGAUGCCUGGCUUUAAGCCUGGGUGCUCUAGCUCCAUAACCCAUGCUCUUUAAAACCAAUAAAGGGGAAAAAAUCCUA
Galeopterus variegatus (Sunda flying lemur) is the source of this 408-nucleotide long non-coding RNA. RefSeq lists it as uncharacterized. The record is from RefSeq and is a predicted model, not a curated record. Lineage: Eukaryota; Metazoa; Chordata; Mammalia; Dermoptera; Cynocephalidae. The transcript has 2 exons.